This 2904-nucleotide ribosomal RNA is filed under the name Escherichia coli KTE54. Its description in RNAcentral is "bacterial LSU rRNA". It matches the Rfam family "Bacterial large subunit ribosomal RNA". Lineage: Bacteria; Pseudomonadati; Pseudomonadota; Gammaproteobacteria; Enterobacterales; Enterobacteriaceae. The record is from RNAcentral.
UUAAGCGACUAAGCGUACACGGUGGAUGCCCUGGCAGUCAGAGGCGAUGAAGGACGUGCUAAUCUGCGAUAAGCGUCGGUAAGGUGAUAUGAACCGUUAUAACCGGCGAUUUCCGAAUGGGGAAACCCAGUGUGAUUCGUCACACUAUCAUUAACUGAAUCCAUAGGUUAAUGAGGCGAACCGGGGGAACUGAAACAUCUAAGUACCCCGAGGAAAAGAAAUCAACCGAGAUUCCCCCAGUAGCGGCGAGCGAACGGGGAGGAGCCCAGAGCCUGAAUCAGUGUGUGUGUUAGUGGAAGCGUCUGGAAAGGCGCGCGAUACAGGGUGACAGCCCCGUACACAAAAAUGCACAUGCUGUGAGCUCGAUGAGUAGGGCGGGACACGUGGUAUCCUGUCUGAAUAUGGGGGGACCAUCCUCCAAGGCUAAAUACUCCUGACUGACCGAUAGUGAACCAGUACCGUGAGGGAAAGGCGAAAAGAACCCCGGCGAGGGGAGUGAAAAAGAACCUGAAACCGUGUACGUACAAGCAGUGGGAGCACGCUUAGGCGUGUGACUGCGUACCUUUUGUAUAAUGGGUCAGCGACUUAUAUUCUGUAGCAAGGUUAACCGAAUAGGGGAGCCGAAGGGAAACCGAGUCUUAACUGGGCGUUAAGUUGCAGGGUAUAGACCCGAAACCCGGUGAUCUAGCCAUGGGCAGGUUGAAGGUUGGGUAACACUAACUGGAGGACCGAACCGACUAAUGUUGAAAAAUUAGCGGAUGACUUGUGGCUGGGGGUGAAAGGCCAAUCAAACCGGGAGAUAGCUGGUUCUCCCCGAAAGCUAUUUAGGUAGCGCCUCGUGAAUUCAUCUCCGGGGGUAGAGCACUGUUUCGGCAAGGGGGUCAUCCCGACUUACCAACCCGAUGCAAACUGCGAAUACCGGAGAAUGUUAUCACGGGAGACACACGGCGGGUGCUAACGUCCGUCGUGAAGAGGGAAACAACCCAGACCGCCAGCUAAGGUCCCAAAGUCAUGGUUAAGUGGGAAACGAUGUGGGAAGGCCCAGACAGCCAGGAUGUUGGCUUAGAAGCAGCCAUCAUUUAAAGAAAGCGUAAUAGCUCACUGGUCGAGUCGGCCUGCGCGGAAGAUGUAACGGGGCUAAACCAUGCACCGAAGCUGCGGCAGCGACGCUUAUGCGUUGUUGGGUAGGGGAGCGUUCUGUAAGCCUGCGAAGGUGUGCUGUGAGGCAUGCUGGAGGUAUCAGAAGUGCGAAUGCUGACAUAAGUAACGAUAAAGCGGGUGAAAAGCCCGCUCGCCGGAAGACCAAGGGUUCCUGUCCAACGUUAAUCGGGGCAGGGUGAGUCGACCCCUAAGGCGAGGCCGAAAGGCGUAGUCGAUGGGAAACAGGUUAAUAUUCCUGUACUUGGUGUUACUGCGAAGGGGGGACGGAGAAGGCUAUGUUGGCCGGGCGACGGUUGUCCCGGUUUAAGCGUGUAGGCUGGUUUUCCAGGCAAAUCCGGAAAAUCAAGGCUGAGGCGUGAUGACGAGGCACUACGGUGCUGAAGCAACAAAUGCCCUGCUUCCAGGAAAAGCCUCUAAGCAUCAGGUAACAUCAAAUCGUACCCCAAACCGACACAGGUGGUCAGGUAGAGAAUACCAAGGCGCUUGAGAGAACUCGGGUGAAGGAACUAGGCAAAAUGGUGCCGUAACUUCGGGAGAAGGCACGCUGAUAUGUAGGUGAAGUCCCUCGCGGAUGGAGCUGAAAUCAGUCGAAGAUACCAGCUGGCUGCAACUGUUUAUUAAAAACACAGCACUGUGCAAACACGAAAGUGGACGUAUACGGUGUGACGCCUGCCCGGUGCCGGAAGGUUAAUUGAUGGGGUUAGCGGUAACGCGAAGCUCUUGAUCGAAGCCCCGGUAAACGGCGGCCGUAACUAUAACGGUCCUAAGGUAGCGAAAUUCCUUGUCGGGUAAGUUCCGACCUGCACGAAUGGCGUAAUGAUGGCCAGGCUGUCUCCACCCGAGACUCAGUGAAAUUGAACUCGCUGUGAAGAUGCAGUGUACCCGCGGCAAGACGGAAAGACCCCGUGAACCUUUACUAUAGCUUGACACUGAACAUUGAGCCUUGAUGUGUAGGAUAGGUGGGAGGCUUUGAAGUGUGGACGCCAGUCUGCAUGGAGCCGACCUUGAAAUACCACCCUUUAAUGUUUGAUGUUCUAACGUUGGCCCCUUAUCCGGGUUGCGGACAGUGUCUGGUGGGUAGUUUGACUGGGGCGGUCUCCUCCUAAAGAGUAACGGAGGAGCACGAAGGUUGGCUAAUCCUGGUCGGACAUCAGGAGGUUAGUGCAAUGGCAUAAGCCAGCUUGACUGCGAGCGUGACGGCGCGAGCAGGUGCGAAAGCAGGUCAUAGUGAUCCGGUGGUUCUGAAUGGAAGGGCCAUCGCUCAACGGAUAAAAGGUACUCCGGGGAUAACAGGCUGAUACCGCCCAAGAGUUCAUAUCGACGGCGGUGUUUGGCACCUCGAUGUCGGCUCAUCACAUCCUGGGGCUGAAGUAGGUCCCAAGGGUAUGGCUGUUCGCCAUUUAAAGUGGUACGCGAGCUGGGUUUAGAACGUCGUGAGACAGUUCGGUCCCUAUCUGCCGUGGGCGCUGGAGAACUGAGGGGGGCUGCUCCUAGUACGAGAGGACCGGAGUGGACGCAUCACUGGUGUUCGGGUUGUCAUGCCAAUGGCACUGCCCGGUAGCUAAAUGCGGAAGAGAUAAGUGCUGAAAGCAUCUAAGCACGAAACUUGCCCCGAGAUGAGUUCUCCCUGACUCCCUGAGAGUCCUGAAGGAACGUUGAAGACGACGACGUUGAUAGGCCGGGUGUGUAAGCGCAGCGAUGCGUUGAGCUAACCGGUACUAAUGAACCGUGAGGCUUAACCUU